RNAcentral lists this ribosomal RNA (465 nucleotides) under uncultured bacterium. Its description in RNAcentral is "bacterial SSU rRNA". It matches the Rfam family "Bacterial small subunit ribosomal RNA", at positions 28 to 507 of the family's 1533-position model. The record is from RNAcentral.
GGUUAACGCUGGCGGCGUGCUUAACACAUGCAAGUCGAACGGUGACGAGGAGCUUGCUCCUCUGAUCAGUGGCGAACGGGUGAGUAACACGUGAGCAACCUGCCCCAGACUCUGGGAUAACAGUUGGAAACAGCUGCUAAUACCGGAUACGAGACGGAGAGGCAUCUCUACCGUCUGGAAAGUUUUCGGUCUGGGAUGGACUCGCGGCCUAUCAGCUAGUUGGUGAGGUAAUGGCUCACCAAGGCGACGACGGGUAGCCGGCCUGAGAGGGCGACCGGCCACACUGGGACUGAGACACGGCCCAGACUCCUACGGGAGGCAGCAGUGGGGAAUAUUGCACAAUGGGCGAAAGCCUGAUGCAGCGACGCCGCGUGAGGGAUGAAGGCCUUCGGGUUGUAAACCUCUUUCAGCAGGGAAGAAGCGAAAGUGACGGUACCUGCAGAAGAAGCACCGGCUAACUACGUG